Molecule: ribosomal RNA, 554 nt
Filed under: Pseudomonas sp. HPC337
Lineage: Bacteria; Pseudomonadati; Pseudomonadota; Gammaproteobacteria; Pseudomonadales; Pseudomonadaceae
Description: bacterial SSU rRNA
Rfam family: Bacterial small subunit ribosomal RNA
Source: RNAcentral
CGGGUGAGUAAUGCCUAGGAAUCUGCCUGGUAGUGGGGGACAACGUUUCGAAAGGAACGCUAAUACCGCAUACGUCCUACGGGAGAAAGCAGGGGACCUUCGGGCCUUGCGCUAUCAGAUGAGCCUAGGUCGGAUUAGCUAGUUGGUGGGGUAAAGGCCUACCAAGGCGACGAUCCGUAACUGGUCUGAGAGGAUGAUCAGUCACACUGGAACUGAGACACGGUCCAGACUCCUACGGGAGGCAGCAGUGGGGAAUAUUGGACAAUGGGCGAAAGCCUGAUCCAGCCAUGCCGCGUGUGUGAAGAAGGUCUUCGGAUUGUAAAGCACUUUAAGUUGGGAGGAAGGUCAGUAAGUUAAUACCUUGCUGAUUUGACGUUACCAACAGAAUAAGCACCGGCUAACUUCGUGCCAGCAGCCGCGGUAAUACGAAGGGUGCAAGCGUUAAUCGGAAUUACUGGGCGUAAAGCGCGCGUAGGUGGUUUGGUAAGAUGGAUGUGAAAUCCCCGGGCUCAACCUGGGAACUGCAUCCAUAACUGCCUGACUAGAGUACGGUA